AGGACGCCAGGGUGGAAGAAACUUUCUCUGUAGAAGGCAUACGACCAUAAUGUUUGAGCCCUUGCCUCGUCGCAACGCUAGUACGCCAGCCGAAGACACAGACGUCCAACCCCGUGAACACUGGAACGUAACUCAAUGGUGGAGCUUUCCCAUGACCAAGAGAUGAACGCUAAACUUGAUAGUUUUUUUUCCUCCUCCUUCCUGCCUGCACUGUGCUAAGAAAGUCAGUAUACAACAAAACAAAGGAUCGCAUUUCACAGA
This is a long non-coding RNA of Engraulis encrasicolus (European anchovy), 261 nucleotides long. RefSeq lists it as uncharacterized. The transcript has 2 exons. The record is from RefSeq and is a predicted model, not a curated record. NCBI's taxonomy places the organism in Eukaryota, Metazoa, Chordata, Actinopteri, Clupeiformes, Engraulidae.